GCUGUCGGGUUUCCGGGAGAGGGCGCUGUCCUUGCUCAGUGAUGGCCGGAGAGCUGCACCCUGCACGUCUGGGCUUGAAGACAGAAAUCCACCGUGAGGUGCUCCAAGGAACACUGAUGGGCAGUUUUGUUAAAGUGAUUGAACUCCGUGGGUACAGGAGUACGUGGAGUAAUGAAGGAUAAUGCCCUGUAACCGCUUCCUCUUAGGAAUGCUAGCUUUCACAAUUGUGCAAACGCAUAAGGAAUAAAACUGUUCUUUUGAAAUGAAGAAGAGAACCACCUAGGAGACUAUCACCCUGACCUGAGGACUUCACUAGGGAUUCAGGAAAGAAGACACAGAAAGAAAGCAAUCCUCAAGGAUCAGAAUGGCCAGCAGGAGGCCAUAUGCACCUAAACCAGAUGGAAGAAAAUGGCCCGGGGUGACCAGCUGGCUCUCUUUAUCAAGCUCAGACUCCUCAAGUCCCCGCUUGGAAGAACAGUCACAGAUUCCAUAUACAGCUGCACUAGGGAGGUGAAGCAGGAAUUCACUGAGCCCCAAGGAAUGGGAAACUGCUUCUUUUAGUUCUCCCAGAACUCUCCACAUUGAUCCCACUCUGGCUACCAGCACUAGCUGGACAGUAAUGACUCUCAGAGGUGAACACAAUAUGCCUCAACAUGCCUUUCUGGAAGUUCACAUAGGAACUGCACAGCACCUGAAUUCCAGUUCUGCAAAGCUCUUCUCUGAAUACUGGAGGUACCAGCAUGAUCCUGGCACUGCCCCUGCCUCCGCUGUCUGUCUAAUUGUAGCUCUCUGGGGCCACUCUUGUGAGUUUCUAAGUUCUGAGGACCUUAAUCUUUUCCACUGUUUCCCAGCCCUAGACAGGUAGCUGCUACCUGAUGUUGUCAUCCCGUGUUAGCUCAGUGUUCAUUUUUACCAU
RNAcentral lists this long non-coding RNA (916 nucleotides) under Homo sapiens (human). RNAcentral's name for it is "HSALNT0357398". The record is from RNAcentral. Lineage: Eukaryota; Metazoa; Chordata; Mammalia; Primates; Hominidae.